RNAcentral lists this ribosomal RNA (301 nucleotides) under uncultured bacterium. RNAcentral's name for it is "partial 16S ribosomal RNA". It matches the Rfam family "Bacterial small subunit ribosomal RNA", at positions 509 to 807 of the family's 1533-position model. The record is from RNAcentral.
CAGUCGCCACGGUAAUACGUAGGGUGCGAGCGUUAAUCGGAAUUACUGGGCGUAAAGCGUGCGCAGGCGGUUGUGUAAGACAGGUGUGAAAUCCCCGGGCUUAACCUGGGAACUGCGCUUGUGACUGCACAGCUAGAGUAUGGCAGAGGGGGGUGGAAUUCCACGUGUAGCAGUGAAAUGCGUAGAGAUGUGGAGGAACACCGAUGGCGAAGGCAGCCCCCUGGGCCAAUACUGACGCUCAUGCACGAAAGCGUGGGGAGCAAACAGGAUUAGAUACCCGAGUAGUCCCUGUCUCUUAUAC